UACGUAGGGUGCGAGCGUUGUCCGGAAUUACUGGGCGUAAAGAGCUCGUAGGCGGCCUGUCACGUCGGAUGUGAAAACCCGGGGCUCAACCCCGGGCCUGCAUUCGAUACGGGCAGGCUAGAGUUCGGCAGGGGAGACUGGAAUUCCUGGUGUAGCGGUGAAAUGCGCAGAUAUCGGGAGGAACACCAGUGGCGAAGGCGGCGAUCUGGGCAGAUACUGACGCUGAGGUGCGAAAGCGUGGGGAGCAAACAGG
RNAcentral lists this ribosomal RNA (253 nucleotides) under uncultured bacterium. RNAcentral's name for it is "partial 16S ribosomal RNA". It matches the Rfam family "Bacterial small subunit ribosomal RNA", at positions 524 to 776 of the family's 1533-position model. The record is from RNAcentral.